Molecule: ribosomal RNA, 468 nt
Filed under: uncultured bacterium
Lineage: Bacteria
Description: partial 16S ribosomal RNA
Rfam family: Bacterial small subunit ribosomal RNA
Source: RNAcentral
GACGAACGCUGGCGGCGUGCUUAACACAUGCAAGUCGAACGGAAAGGCCCUGCUUUUGUGGGGUGCUCGAGUGGCGAACGGGUGAGUAACACGUGAGUAACCUGCCCUUGACUUUGGGAUAACUUCAGGAAACUGGGGCUAAUACCGCAUAUGAGCUCCUGCUGCAUGGUGGGGGUUGGAAAGUUUCGGCGGUUGGGGAUGGACUCGCGGCUUAUCAGCUUGUUGGUGGGGUAGUGGCUUACCAAGGCUUUGACGGGUAGCCGGCCUGUGAGGGUGACCGGCAACAUUGGGACUGAGAAACGGCCCAGACUGCUACGGGAGGCAGCAGUGGGGAAUAUUGCACAAUGGGCGGAAGCCUGAUGCAGCAACGCAGCGUGCGGGAUGACGGCCUUCGGGUUGUAAACCGCUUUCGCAUGUGACGAAGCGUGAGUGACGGUAAUGGGUAAAGAAGCACCGGCUAACUACGUG